AGUGACAUCCGCCGCGGCCGCGCCUCCCUUAACACGCCAGCAGAACGAACGACGGCGAGGACGCAAUAGGCAGGAGGAGUCGCUGUUCAAAUCGCACAAAGAGAGAUCUUCUCCCCCUACUCAAGCCUGCCCUGCCUUGCCCUGCCUGCUAGUAUAAGGUAUUUCUAAGUGGACUACAAGACAACCGUGAAAAAUUUGAGGAAAACUAGAUGCGAGGUUUGACAUCUUGUAAUAAGUCUACACACGAAUGCGAGCUACUGCCCAGCCUCGAACUGUGCCCGGGCGUCAGCAAACCGGCAGUGUCCGCCAGUGCCCCAUGUUACCUCUGCAGUGUUUUGAGAAACUAUGCAGACUAUAUUAAGGUAUGGCCCUCCACUACGCCCACAACACUACGUCAAGGCUCCUGAUGGCCCUGCUGCUGACGGUGGUGAUGGGGACGCCGUGCACCUCCACCAGCACAGUUCAUUUAGUCAAUACGUCGGGAUGGUCAGUGGAGAAAAUCUCUCUCCCAGACGAACGGGCAGUUUACCUCCUCUUCUGGAUGGAGGAAGAGGAAGACAAUGAGCCGGAGGAAAGUAAAGAGGCAGAUCCAGGAGAGGAGGAGGAAGAGGAAGAGGAAGAGGAAACGGGGAUAAUAAAAGUAUUAGAAGAAGAGGAUGUAGACGUUGGCCCACUUGUGCAGUUCAAAGAAGAUGGAGAGGAAGACGAAGAAGAAAGACUAGCCCGAGAGGAAGAGGAGGAAGAGGAAGAAAUGACACUAUUGAAAACUGUGAAAGAGGAAGAAAAGGCAACGGAACAGGAAGGAAGCGAGAUCGGAAAAGCACUUCUCCAGGGAGGGAUGCAAGAGAAAGGAACGCGGGAUGGAAGGGAAGGGGUGAAGGAAGAGGGGAGUGUAACCCUCUCCUACUUCGUCUUUUCCUCCGAGUACCCAGCCCUCAAGUUUCAUUUGCCUCAGCGUAACGUGUGGUACUUCGGUCACUUCGAUUUCCACCAUGUGCACAUCCCGGUGGCGGACGUCUCCAAGAACCCCGUCCCCAGCUCGUGGUGGGGACGCACUGUCAAGGUGUCCAGCGGCUCAACCGUUUACUGGUACGUCUGUCCCACACCAAAACGCUGCGGUAAGUGCCAUUCAAAAUAUAUCGUCUUGCUCGGUGGGUGGUUACACUUUUUUCAACGUCACAUAACUAAUUGUAUGAUGAGUCGUAUUAAGCAAUGUCAGAACAACAGUGCAUUGAGAAGUAAUAACAGAGGAUAAUGUAACUUUUUUACUCAAAAUACAUUAAAACAUCAAAUGUGGCGUUAGCUAGUCAAGAGAAAACAAAUAAUCCGUUAAGUGUUUCAGUGAUUUUCCUUAACUGUUCUAAAUUAACUACAUUCCCUACCACAUCCGCUACUUACAAAUCGUGUUAAAUAUAAAAAUAGAACGCACAACAAGAAUGUAAUCAGAGUAAACAAAGAGCGGGAAACUUUCAAAAAUGCUUUACUUUUCUGCUGCUUCUGGGCAAUCCCACAUCCUGCAAUUAAGCCAUGACUGAAGUUCCUUACUUUCUUGCAAGCACGUGACCCUUCGAAGAAGACCCGCUACGUCAGUACGUUAGCGCGGCGUCAUCCUUCUCGUGGACCCAGAAACUCCGCUUUGUUGCCUCACCGGAAA
Eriocheir sinensis (Chinese mitten crab) is the source of this 1654-nucleotide long non-coding RNA. RefSeq lists it as uncharacterized. The transcript has 4 exons. NCBI's taxonomy places the organism in Eukaryota, Metazoa, Arthropoda, Malacostraca, Decapoda, Varunidae. The record is from RefSeq and is a predicted model, not a curated record.